Molecule: long non-coding RNA, 288 nt
Filed under: Sorghum bicolor (sorghum)
Lineage: Eukaryota; Viridiplantae; Streptophyta; Magnoliopsida; Poales; Poaceae
Description: long non-coding RNA (SBIC_LNC013706)
Source: RNAcentral
CCUCGAAAAAAGUGAAAUAAAAGAACAAGGUCUUCAAGAUUAAGGUUUGGACCAGAUUCUAAAAGAUCAGAAAAACGUUUCCAGGAUUUUCCCAAAGUUUCAUUAUCUUUUUGUUUAAAAGAUAGGACUUCGAGUCUAAGGUCGGCUAUACGGUCAAGGGAAUAGAAAUCUAGACAAAAAUUGGCUCGUAAAACUCCCCAUUCACCUUGUUGUUGACUUACCUUCUGACUGUACCAUUGUCUAGCUUCUCCCCUUAGAGAAAAAGGAAAAAGCUUCCAACGUAAAGUC